CCUUCAUGAAGUCGGAAUUGCUAGUAAUGGCAGGUCAGCAUACUGCCGUGAAUACGUUCCCGGGCCUUGUACACACCGCCCGUCACACCAUGAGAGUUGGAGAUACCCGAAGCCUAUGAGCUAACUUUUAGAGGCAGUAGUCGAAGGUAGAAUCAAUGAUUGGGGUGAAGUCGUAACAAGGUAGC
Molecule: ribosomal RNA, 185 nt
Filed under: uncultured bacterium
Lineage: Bacteria
Description: partial 16S ribosomal RNA
Rfam family: Bacterial small subunit ribosomal RNA
Source: RNAcentral